AUUAUUAUUCUCCUGCUCUUGUUGUAUCGCUGCAGACAGUCCAAGUAUUCCUGCUUCACCAGGUGGAUCCAGUCUGAGAGUCACAGUCCGGGCUCCUCCACAAAUCAUGGAGUCAACCAGAAUGAAACUCAUGAAUACAACUCUCUUCAUCCUGGUGAUGCUAACCUCUAUGAAUCCAUCACACAAGAGGAAGACACUGGAACUGGUGCAGAUGAACCCCGAGACGUCACAUACUCUCUGAUUACACUUCAAAACAUUGG
This is a long non-coding RNA of Oreochromis niloticus (Nile tilapia), 260 nucleotides long. RefSeq lists it as uncharacterized. The record is from RefSeq and is a predicted model, not a curated record. Lineage: Eukaryota; Metazoa; Chordata; Actinopteri; Cichliformes; Cichlidae. The transcript has 5 exons.